CAUUAGAUGACUGAAAGCAAGUAAUGGUCUCUUAAACCAAAAUAUAGUAUCUUAGCAACUACUUCUAAUGA
Molecule: transfer RNA, 71 nt
Filed under: Mantidae JZ-2017
Lineage: Eukaryota; Metazoa; Arthropoda; Insecta; Mantodea; Mantidae
Description: tRNA-Lys
Source: RNAcentral